This 253-nucleotide ribosomal RNA is filed under the name uncultured bacterium. RNAcentral describes it as "partial 16S ribosomal RNA". It matches the Rfam family "Bacterial small subunit ribosomal RNA", at positions 524 to 776 of the family's 1533-position model. The record is from RNAcentral.
UACAGAGGGUGCGAGCGUUAAUCGGAAUUACUGGGCGUAAAGCGUGCGUAGACGGUAGCGUAAGUCAGAUGUGAAAGCCCCGGGCUCAACCUGGGAAUUGCAUUUGAGACUGCUCUGCUCGGGUGCGGAAGAGGGAAGCGGAAUUUCCGGUGUAGCGGUGAAAUGCGUAGAUAUCGGAAGGAACACCAGUGGCGAAAGCGGCUUCCUGGUCCGACACCGACGUUCAGGCACGAAAGCGUGAGGAGCAAACAGG